CAAUCGGCCCUUUUCAGGGCCACUAUUUACUUAAAGAAAACGAUUU
Non-coding RNA from Daphnia pulex (common water flea), 46 nucleotides. NCBI's taxonomy places the organism in Eukaryota, Metazoa, Arthropoda, Branchiopoda, Diplostraca, Daphniidae. The record is from Rfam.